This is a long non-coding RNA of Syngnathus typhle (broad-nosed pipefish), 1780 nucleotides long. RefSeq lists it as uncharacterized. The transcript has 3 exons. The record is from RefSeq and is a predicted model, not a curated record. NCBI's taxonomy places the organism in Eukaryota, Metazoa, Chordata, Actinopteri, Syngnathiformes, Syngnathidae.
GGGGGGGGUUCUUCUGCACGGACUGUUCUUCCUCGCCCUCUUCCCUCGAUGCGCACUGACUUGCAAGUGCUCCUUCAAGCCGUUUUCUUCAUCUUCAUUACUUUGACAUCUUUGGUUCACACUUUUUUGGCUACGUUCAGAUGCACCGACUCAUUUCUAUCGAGUGAGCAGCCUAUUCUCUCUUUGGCGCAGCAGUUUGCGGCAACUUCUCUUGCUUCUGCUAAGGAUAUAGACCGAGGUGGGAGGCCAGGACAGUGACGAAGACACCAAGGGAAAAGAAGACAGAGAGUUAGGGAGCUUUGGUGAAUGGAGAACUUCCCCCAGAUCGCUCCUAUUCUCCAGCUUAUUGCAUCCUGUCGUUUGCAGUUUCAGAUGAUGUCCAGUACGCCGCAGCUGCUGCAGCCAAUAAACAAAGUGACUAACAAUGGAAGAGAGGCAUGGCUGAAGAGGAGGAGACAGGAAAACCACCAUAGCACACACAAAACUAAAGGAGAGAGGUAUUACAAGUUACUUUUGUUAUGCAGCAGCAGGAGUACAAAGAAAUACAUUUAAUUGCGUAACCACUGUUUCAGUCGUUUUAGUUGAUAAUGGUUACUUGAUGGACAGAUUCAUGAAUUUCCAAAUUGCUCAAAGAAUGCCGGCCAGUUUUAUAUUUCAGCUUGUGGGAGAAAAACAUGGUAACUAACCAAUGAAAUCAGACACUAAGAUAUAUAUAUAUUUUUAUAAUAAGGCUUGCAAUCUGGUUUGCUUUGAGUUUGUGAUUAAUUAAUCACAUUCUCUGUGCCACCAUAUAUUUUACAAUGGAAUAAAUUUAAUCGCUUUUUCAAGAUUGAUGGUAAAAGUACAAUUUCAACAUUUUGGGAUGUGCUUGUUGAGGACGAGUCCCCCUAUUGUAUGUGUUACCCUCAGCCAAAUUAAUUAUUAGCUUUACCCCCAGGAAACUCAAUCAAAAAUGUAAUGAAAUGGUACAAUGGUUUUGUCUCAUUGCUUUUUGAUAAUGUGUGUAAAGACAAAUUGUUGUUCCAUGUAUUCCGUAACAGUUUUUUGUCGUUCUUUUUUUGUGCAACAGAAUUUCAGGUCAUCGUUGUAACUUGUGUUUUGGUAUGUAGAAGAGGGAAGACAGAUGAGGGACACUUUGAAAAAAUAUCUCUUCCACCCACAAAUUGAAAAGUAAUAGCCAAGAUGAUAAAAAAACAACCUAAUUUCGUGAGAGCAACUAUUUCAGGGUGAUGCUCUUCUUCAAUGGCUAGCUCCCUUUUGUUUUAUAUGGAUUUUUCUCCGUUAUACGUCAGAAAUGAAGCAAACAUACAGGUACUCAAAAUCACCUAACCCAAGGUAUUUCUUUUUUAUUCCCACUCUCACUCUCUCUCUUUGAAAUAAAAUUGAAGACAAAAAAAUUAAGUAAUUACAUGCCCAAUUUAAACUGUAUCAAUGUGGAUAAUUGUCAUUUGCCAUGAAGAAAUUAAAUGAAAACUGGUAAACAAGUAAAUUUUCUUUAAUUGGUUUCCUUUAAGCGGAGAGAAGUGUUAGAUCAAUGUAUCCUUCCUGUUGCUAAUGAAAGAUAAAGCAAAAGUGUAACAUGUUUUUAAUUAUUAUUUUAACAGGUUUUACAAAUCACAUACAACAGUUAUUGUCAAUGUUCUUUAUUCAUAGUUGAUUGAUAUCCUUGAGAUGCUGCGUAACCAGAAUGGUUUGUAAUGUUGCCAACAAGUACUUGGUCUUUUGCCACUUAGGGCAUGAAUGAUUUACUUUAUGUAUACUUUGUUUACUUUAUGAAUAA